UCCCACGUGGUCUAGUAGUUAGGAUUCGGCGCUUUCACCGCCGCGGCCUGGGUUCGAUUCCCGGCGUGGGAA
This 72-nucleotide transfer RNA is filed under the name Pocillopora damicornis (cauliflower coral). RNAcentral describes it as "tRNA-Glu". It matches the Rfam family "tRNA". Rfam says of the family: Transfer RNA (tRNA) molecules are approximately 80 nucleotides in length. Their secondary structure includes four short double-helical elements and three loops (D, anti-codon, and T loops). Lineage: Eukaryota; Metazoa; Cnidaria; Anthozoa; Scleractinia; Pocilloporidae. The record is from Rfam by way of RNAcentral.